RNAcentral lists this transfer RNA (69 nucleotides) under Ictidomys tridecemlineatus (thirteen-lined ground squirrel). RNAcentral describes it as "Spermophilus tridecemlineatus (thirteen-lined ground squirrel) tRNA". It matches the Rfam family "tRNA". Rfam says of the family: Transfer RNA (tRNA) molecules are approximately 80 nucleotides in length. Lineage: Eukaryota; Metazoa; Chordata; Mammalia; Rodentia; Sciuridae. The record is from Rfam by way of RNAcentral.
GGGGUUGUGGCUCAGUGGUAGAGAACUUGCCUUGCAUGCAUGAGGCCCUGGGUUCAGUCCCCAGCACCA